This 241-nucleotide long non-coding RNA is filed under the name Gossypium barbadense (sea-island cotton). RNAcentral describes it as "long non-coding RNA (GBAR_LNC016559)". The record is from RNAcentral. Lineage: Eukaryota; Viridiplantae; Streptophyta; Magnoliopsida; Malvales; Malvaceae.
CUUCAUUUAACAGCUCGCAAUCACAAUUAACAACCGGUAAUCAUGAAUAAACAUUUGUGCUUAAUACAACAGAAGUUUGUAUUAAUGAGCUGAAACAUCGGGUGCUGUCUCAGCUGCAAUUUGGAUUCCAAUUUUGUUUGCCCUAUUAGGUAUACAUACAUGUACCUUCUCUGUAAUUCUGUUUCCUACGAAAAAAGGCAAAAACAAACAAAAGAAAGGAUUUCUUUGUUGUUGUCUUUUC